CAGCAGCCGCGGUAAUACGUAGGUGGCAAGCGUUGUCCGGAAUUAUUGGGCGUAAAGCGCGCGCAGGCGGUCCUUUAAGUCUGAUGUGAAAUCUUGCGGCUCAACCGCAAGCGGCCAUUGGAAACUGGGGGACUUGAGUGCAGGAGAGGGAAGUGGAAUUCCACGUGUAGCGGUGAAAUGCGUAGAGAUGUGGAGGAACACCAGUGGCGAAGGCGGCUUCCUGGCCUGUAACUGACGCUGAGGCGCGAAAGCGUGGGGAGCAAACAGGAUUAGAUGCCCUGGUAGUCCACGCCGUAAACGAUGAGUGCUAAGUGUUAGGGGGUUUCCGCCCCUUAGUGCUGCAGCUAACGCAUUAAGCACUCCGCCUGGGGAGUACGGCCGCAAGGCUGAAACUUAAAGGAAUUGGCGGG
This 410-nucleotide ribosomal RNA is filed under the name uncultured microorganism. RNAcentral's name for it is "bacterial SSU rRNA". It matches the Rfam family "Bacterial small subunit ribosomal RNA", at positions 509 to 917 of the family's 1533-position model. The record is from RNAcentral.